This 300-nucleotide signal recognition particle RNA is filed under the name Aotus nancymaae (Ma's night monkey). Its description in RNAcentral is "Metazoan signal recognition particle RNA (ENSANAG00000013129.1)". It matches the Rfam family "Metazoan signal recognition particle RNA". From Rfam's summary of the family: The signal recognition particle (SRP) is a universally conserved ribonucleoprotein. Lineage: Eukaryota; Metazoa; Chordata; Mammalia; Primates; Aotidae. The record is from RNAcentral.
GCCAGGCAUGGUGGCGCAUGCCUGUAGUCCCAGCUACACGGGAGGCUGAGGCUGGAGGAUCACUUAACUCCAGGAGUUCUGGGCUGUAGUGUGCUAUGCCAAUUGGUUGUCCGCACCAAGUUCAGCAUCAAUAUGGUGACCUCCCAGGAGCAGGGGACCACCAGGUUGCCUAAGGAGGGGUGAACCGGCCCAGGUCGGAAAUGGAGCAGGUCAAAACUCCCGUGCUGAUCAGUAGUGGGAUCGCGCCUGUGAACAGCCACUGCACUCCAGCCUGGGUCACAAGAGAGAAACUCUGUCUCA